UGGGGAAUAUUGCACAAUGGGCGCAAGCCUGAUGCAGCCAUGCCGCGUGUAUGAAGAAGGCCUUCGGGUUGUAAAGUACUUUCAGCGGGGAGGAAGGUGUUGUGGUUAAUAACCACAGCAAUUGACGUUACCCGCAGAAGAAGCACCGGCUAACUCCGUGCCAGCAGCCGCGGUAAUACGGAGGGUGCAAGCGUUAAUCGGAAUUACUGGGCGUAAAGCGCACGCAGGCGGUCUGUCAAGUCGGAUGUGAAAUCCCCGGGCUCAACCUGGGAACUGCAUCCGAAACUGGCAGGCUUGAGUCUUGUAGAGGGGGGUAGAAUUCCAGGUGUAGCGGUGAAAUGCGUAGAGAUCUGGAGGAAUACCGGUGGCGAAGGCGGCCCCCUGGACUAAUACUGACACUGAGGUGCGAAAGCGUGGGGAGCAAACA
RNAcentral lists this ribosomal RNA (427 nucleotides) under uncultured bacterium. RNAcentral describes it as "partial 16S ribosomal RNA". It matches the Rfam family "Bacterial small subunit ribosomal RNA", at positions 355 to 774 of the family's 1533-position model. The record is from RNAcentral.